UUUUUUUUUCACCAAAUUUUUAGCCUGAAAAAUUAUUUACCAGCAAAGCUACAGCUUGAUGAAUUGGUGUUGAAACAUGAUUGAUUUCCCAGUUAGUGGUCUGCAUGUGUCUUGUAGCAUGUAGAGUUGAGCAAGCCAUGUGAACCCUUUAUUCUCUAUUCCAUCUACCCUGAAAUUGAGACAAUAAUUAAAAGAUUGGAUGGAACUGGCACAAGGCCUUGGGUGAGUUGAGCAUAUCUUUUAGGCUUUGAUGAUUACAACCUGUGCCUUUUGUAUUAGGGUUGGACCACCCCUAAUAAUUGCAGCCACCUGCUAGGCUGUGGUGAUGCCCAUUCUUUGUUUUUCUAGUGGGUACCCAUAUUUCUCGACAUUUCAGACAUUGGC
This 384-nucleotide long non-coding RNA is filed under the name Actinidia chinensis (golden kiwifruit). RNAcentral describes it as "long non-coding RNA (ACHI_LNC003093)". Lineage: Eukaryota; Viridiplantae; Streptophyta; Magnoliopsida; Ericales; Actinidiaceae. The record is from RNAcentral.